Molecule: long non-coding RNA, 781 nt
Filed under: Pogona vitticeps (central bearded dragon)
Lineage: Eukaryota; Metazoa; Chordata; Lepidosauria; Squamata; Agamidae
Description: lncRNA (ENSPVIG00000021798.1)
Source: RNAcentral
ACUGGCCUUCCCCACAGACCUUUGCCUCAGCAAUGAAGGUUUCUGGUUGUGUUAUUAUUCCUGCCUUGCCUGGUGGUGCCUGCCUUGCAUCCCUGGACCUUGCUGCCUUGAUAUAGCUGAUCUUUCUCUUCUAAUAUUUUUAUUUUCUCAAUUAUAUGGGAGUACCAGCUGUGAAAAAAAAAAGAAAGAUUCAUCCCAACAUAUGAAACAUCACAAACGAGACUGAAAGGGGCAAGGCAGCUAAGCACCAGCCAAACCAGAGGUGAAGUCUGAAACUGAAUCAACUGGAAAAAUAAGCUAAGUGAAAGUAAACACCGCUAGACUCUGAAGCAUCUACACAAUGAUCAGCCACACUUGGCUUAAACUGUAUCACAGCAUCAAGACAGACACACUUGUUGUGGAUGGGAAAUUAUCAUCCGUUUCUGAGGAGGUCUCCAAUUCAUGUCACAUCCCAGAGAGAUAAUCAGAGGGAAGCUUUCAUGUUUACCUAGAGACGGAAGAGAUCCAGCUUCUCAGGGUGAGCAAGGUAUUAAACUCUUUCUCUUCCCAAUCCAUUCAUACGGUAAUGUAAUGAAAAAUCAUUAAGAGUUGUAGAGAAAUCUGGAUUACUUGGAAGAAAAGAACUUCAGGAGUGCAAUUGUAAAAUAUUAAUUAUUAUCAUUAUGUACUCAAGUAGAUAAUACCAGCUUUAAAAAGGAAGAAGUGUGCUCUUUUUGACUUUCUAUGCUGACUUGUUUCUGAUCAUUGUCGUCUUAGCCACAGCCCAUUUUUAAAAAAUGGA